This 450-nucleotide ribosomal RNA is filed under the name uncultured bacterium. RNAcentral's name for it is "partial 16S ribosomal RNA". It matches the Rfam family "Bacterial small subunit ribosomal RNA", at positions 354 to 796 of the family's 1533-position model. The record is from RNAcentral.
GUGGGGAAUAUUGGACAAUGGGCGAAAGCCUGAUCCAGCCAUGCCGCGUGUGUGAAGAAGGUCUUCGGAUUGUAAAGCACUUUAAGUUGGGAGGAAGGGCAGUAAGUUAAUACCUUGCUGUUUUGACGUUACCGACAGAAUAAGCACCGGCUAACUUCGUGCCAGCAGCCGCGGUAAUACAGAGGGUGCGAGCGUUAAUCGGAUUUACUGGGCGUAAAGCGUGCGUAGGCGGCUUUUUAAGUCGGAUGUGAAAUCCCUGAGCUUAACUUAGGAAUUGCAGUGGAUACUGGGCAACUAGAGUGUGGUAGAGGGAUGCGGAAUUUCUGGUGUAGCAGUGAAAUGCGUAGAUAUCGGGAGGAACACCAGUGGCGAAGGCGGCUUCCUGGCACAAUACUGACGCUCAUGUGCGAAAGCUAGGGCAGCGAACGGGAUUAGAAACCCGUGUAGUCC